UUUUCCUAAUUGGCAGAUAAUUGCAUUAGAAUUAGAAUCUAUUUAAGAUAA
This 51-nucleotide transfer RNA is filed under the name Homalonychus theologus. Its description in RNAcentral is "tRNA-Leu". The record is from RNAcentral. Lineage: Eukaryota; Metazoa; Arthropoda; Arachnida; Araneae; Homalonychidae.